UACGUAGGGUGCAAGCGUUGUUCGGAUUCACUGGGCGUAAAGGGUGCGUAGGUGGCCAGGUAAGUUUGGUGUGAAAGCUCGGAGCUUAACUCCGAAAAGUCAUUGAAUACUAUCUGGCUGGAGGGUCGGAGGGGAGACUGGAAUUCUCGGUGUAGCAGUGAAAUGCGUAGAUAUCGAGAGGAACACCAGUGGCGAAGGCGAGUCUCUGGACGACUCCUGACACUGAGGCACGAAAGCUAGGGGAGCAAACAGG
This 253-nucleotide ribosomal RNA is filed under the name uncultured bacterium. RNAcentral describes it as "partial 16S ribosomal RNA". It matches the Rfam family "Bacterial small subunit ribosomal RNA", at positions 524 to 776 of the family's 1533-position model. The record is from RNAcentral.